CAGCACCUCAAGUGGUCAGGAUGAUUAUUGGGCCUAAAGCAUCCGUAGCCGGCGCUGUAAGUUUUCGGUUAAAUCUGUACGCUCAACGUGCAGGCUGCCGGGAAUACUGCAGCGCUAGGGAGUGGGAGAGGUAGACGGUACUCGGUAGGAAGGGGUAAAAUCCUUUGAUCUAUUGAUGACCACCUGUGGCGAAGGCGGUCUACCAGAACACGUCCGACGGUGAGGGAUGAAAGCUGGGGGAGCAAACCGGAUUAGAGACCCGAGUAGUCC
Molecule: ribosomal RNA, 270 nt
Filed under: uncultured archaeon
Lineage: Archaea
Description: partial 16S ribosomal RNA
Rfam family: Archaeal small subunit ribosomal RNA
Source: RNAcentral